Oryza brachyantha (malo sina) is the source of this 1750-nucleotide RNA transcript. RefSeq lists it as uncharacterized. The record is from RefSeq and is a predicted model, not a curated record. NCBI's taxonomy places the organism in Eukaryota, Viridiplantae, Streptophyta, Magnoliopsida, Poales, Poaceae. The transcript is spliced from 4 exons.
GUUCGUUCUCGAAGCAUCCACCACCUCCGAUGGCCGACGAAGGCGAGCUCCUCGCCGGCGGCGAGCCCAUCCGGCCGCCGCGGCUGGAGGACGCUGGCCUGGAGGACUGCGCCCUGCCGCCGGAGUCCAUAGCCGAGGCCUUCUCGCUCGCCGCCAAGGCCGCCGCCUCCCGCCUCGCCCACUUCUCCCUUUCCGACGAGGACGACGACGGCCUCCUCAAGAUGCGUGGUGGCGGCGCUGGGGGGUGCGUGGACGACUCGGGUCCCACCUGCGGGACCAUACCGGACGCACUCGUCGGGGUGGGGGGCGGCCGGGGGAGCUGCGCCGACGAGGUCGUGGUGGUCGGCGGAGGGGGUGAGGGCGGAGACGAGGUGGUCGUCGGAGGAAGAGGGGAUGAGGAGGACAGGAUUGUUGUGGUCGGGGAGGAGCUGGAGGGGAAGCUUGGAUCCGAGAACGGCUGCGUCGAGGGGAUCAGACAAGGAAUUGAUGAACCGGAUCGCGGAGAAGGCAAUGGAGAAGAAGGGAGGGUGGAGGAGGAGGUGGUGGUUGCUGUGGAGAAGGCGAUCUUGGUGGAGGAUUUCGCGUGAGCUCGACUGCUUGACUCUACCUUCAAGCUCAUCUUGGGCAAAUAUAAAUACCUUUGGAUGAACAUUGCUGCUGAUAUGCGGAUACAGGAAGAUGUUGAAAAGGAGCCAAUUGGUUUUCUUGGAUUUCUUUGCUCCAGGAACUGCGUAUUUAUAUCACAAGGCUGGUACCGCUAUCUGGCAAGGGGGCUCACGACUAUUGGAUUCCAGAGAAUCCUGUGUAAUGUUCAAAAAGAUGAUAUUUUAUCAUUAUCCAUACAUCAUCAUAGCAUAGAUUAUGGUUGCUAGUAAUAAUUUUGUCUUAUGGAUAUCAGGUUUCUUAUCCUGUUUGUUCAUUUGGACUUUAUUGUUUUAGCAACUACUCGAGGCACAUGCGUUGUAGUCAUUUUUCUCCUUUUUGUUGGGUCAAUGCGGCUCGCAUUGAAUAAGCUUCUGAAUAGGAAUGGAAAUACAUCUUGCCAUCCAGAAAUGGUUAGGGCAAAUUGAAUGAUGUUUGAUGCCUUGCUGUUACUAGUACGCCCUUUUUGUACUACAAGAUGUACAUUUUUUUUGGCAUGAUCAGGGCAGUGAUAUCCAAAUAGCAUUCCAUCAUGAAGAAUAGAACUUGCAUGCAACCAAGAUAAGUUGCUAAUUCAAUAGGGAAUGGCUUCAAAGCAUGUGGUGCAAACAAAUUUUGGCACGCACCUGUUGAUGCUGUUCCUUCUGUUCUUUUUUUGGCCUGUGACCUGGGACUGAAAGCAACCAUCAUGAUCAUGUAAAGUCAUGCAUGUGAGCUGCCGAUCAGGAAACAUAAUCCUUCGUGAAAGGUACUAACAUCUACUACGCUUGGCCCUACAGGAACAGGAAAUGCUCAUAGAUUGGAUCUACAUCUACUUGUCACACUCCUUGCUGGAGAGGGUCCUACAACUUCUGAAGUUCUGUCAUAGUAAUACUACUAAGUUUGAAAGCACAAUAUGUAAUCACUAGUAUCUAGUAAUCAUGUGUUCACAUGGCAACUCUCAGGUUAAUUUGGUCAUGUUAUAUCAUUAAUUGCGUACUUGGUGGCUGGAAAUCUGUGUUCAUUUCAAACAAAUCAAGAGGGCAGCUACUGCCUUGUUGCUGCAUGUGAUACAUAUUAACGUGGCCCAUUAGUAAUAAAAUGUCGGAUCCCCAGCCUGUGUUUUCAU